UUAAAUUCUAUGAAGAGAAAAAGUAGGGCAUAUUUAUUGAUCCACAGAGAGUUGACAAGUUGCUGAAAGUCAAUGUUCAAGGUAUAUCUGAAAAUCAUCUCGGAGAAGUAAAGCUGAAGCUAUAUUUUAGUAAGUUUUAUCGGAUUUUCACCGUUAUAGGAAAAGCGUAUUAUUUAGUACGUAUUUUAAGAGUGCUAUAAAUUAAAUCUAUUUUUUUAGGUUAUAUUUAUAGAAUUAGGGUGGUAACGCGAUUAAACCUCGUCCCUUUU
RNAcentral lists this non-coding RNA (269 nucleotides) under Clostridium perfringens. RNAcentral describes it as "T-box sequence". It matches the Rfam family "T-box leader". Rfam says of the family: Uncharged tRNA acts as the effector for transcription antitermination of genes in the T-box leader family. Lineage: Bacteria; Bacillati; Bacillota; Clostridia; Eubacteriales; Clostridiaceae. The record is from RNAcentral.